CCCAGGCAGACCAGGCUUCCCAGGACAGAAUGGACAGAAUGGGCAACCAGGAGAAAGAGGACAACCAGGAGAGAAGGGUGAUAAGGGAUCUCCAGGUGUUGGUGUUCAAGGACCCAGAGGACCUCCAGGACCACCUGGUCCCCAGGGACAGGGCAGACCAGGUAGCUCUGGACCCUCAGGACGACCUG
This is a long non-coding RNA of Oreochromis aureus, 188 nucleotides long. RefSeq lists it as uncharacterized. NCBI's taxonomy places the organism in Eukaryota, Metazoa, Chordata, Actinopteri, Cichliformes, Cichlidae. The record is from RefSeq and is a predicted model, not a curated record. The transcript has 3 exons.